This 745-nucleotide ribosomal RNA is filed under the name Escherichia coli 2-460-02_S3_C3. RNAcentral's name for it is "bacterial SSU rRNA". It matches the Rfam family "Bacterial small subunit ribosomal RNA", at positions 780 to 1527 of the family's 1533-position model. The record is from RNAcentral. Lineage: Bacteria; Pseudomonadati; Pseudomonadota; Gammaproteobacteria; Enterobacterales; Enterobacteriaceae.
AGAUACCCUGGUAGUCCACGCCGUAAACGAUGUCGACUUGGAGGUUGUGCCCUUGAGGCGUGGCUUCCGGAGCUAACGCGUUAAGUCGACCGCCUGGGGAGUACGGCCGCAAGGUUAAAACUCAAAUGAAUUGACGGGGGCCCGCACAAGCGGUGGAGCAUGUGGUUUAAUUCGAUGCAACGCGAAGAACCUUACCUGGUCUUGACAUCCACAGAACUUUCAGAGAUGGAUUGUGCCUUCGGGAACUGUGAGACAGGUGCUGCAUGGCUGUCGUCAGCUCGUGUUGUGAAAUGUUGGGUUAAGUCCCGCAACGAGCGCAACCCUUAUCCUUUGUUGCCAGCGGUCCGGCCGGGAACUCAAAGGAGACUGCCAGUGAUAAACUGGAGGAAGGUGGGGAUGACGUCAAGUCAUCAUGGCCCUUACGACCAGGGCUACACACGUGCUACAAUGGCGCAUACAAAGAGAAGCGACCUCGCGAGAGCAAGCGGACCUCAUAAAGUGCGUCGUAGUCCGGAUUGGAGUCUGCAACUCGACUCCAUGAAGUCGGAAUCGCUAGUAAUCGUGGAUCAGAAUGCCACGGUGAAUACGUUCCCGGGCCUUGUACACACCGCCCGUCACACCAUGGGAGUGGGUUGCAAAAGAAGUAGGUAGCUUAACCUUCGGGAGGGCGCUUACCACUUUGUGAUUCAUGACUGGGGUGAAGUCGUAACAAGGUAACCGUAGGGGAACCUGCGGUUGGAUCACC